RNAcentral lists this long non-coding RNA (876 nucleotides) under Musa acuminata (dwarf banana). RNAcentral describes it as "long non-coding RNA (MACU_LNC001099)". Lineage: Eukaryota; Viridiplantae; Streptophyta; Magnoliopsida; Zingiberales; Musaceae. The record is from RNAcentral.
UUGUUUCAGGUUCAAGUCAAACGCUGAGAUGUCUUUAUUUAAUACUCAACGAUGGUGGUGAAAUCUUGUAGUCAACGCACAUCCAAUCCAUGCACAAUGUGUGGACAACCUGCUCCUACCAGAUUUGGUAUAACAAAAGAUGAAUGAACGAAUACAAAUGUCAACCAAAACGAACGUUAGAUUCCAAACCCAACAGUGAGACCUUCCAAACCCACACAAUCAAAACCCUCCUCCUCUUCAACCAAUUCAAAUGGCACCAAGGAUAGCAGCAGCACCCAUGGUAAGCCCAAGGGUCAGACCUGCAACCACCCGGGCAGCUGAAGAACUGGGGCCAGGCGCUUCUGCAGGUGCUGUGGACGAUGGUGGUAAUCCAAUGCUUGAAUCGGGUGCAUCUGCACUUGCAUCCUUGACGGGAGCGGCGGCACUGGUCUUCGGAGACUCGGCUGGGGUGGCCGCGCCAGACCGCGGAGCUGCGGCCGGGGUGGUGUUUCUGGCCUUGUGAGCCCUUGCAGGCUUGCUUGGACUGCUCUUUGGAGCUGCUGCAGGAGUGAUGGGGCUCGACUUUGGCGCUCCGACUGGUACGCUGCUGCUCGGUGUUGGAGCUCCGACAGGUGCGCUGCUGCUCGCCUUUGGAGCACCGACAGGUGCGCCGGUGGUAGGCUCUGGACCCUCAACAGGUGCGCCGGUGGUAGGCUCUGGACCCUCAACAGGUGAGCCGGUGCUCGACUCUGGACCCUCAACAGGUGCGCCGGUGCUCGACUCUGGACCCUCAGCAGGUGCGCCGGUGCUCGACUCUGGACCCUCAGCAGGUGCGCCGGUGGCUCGACUCUGGACCCUCAGCAGGUGCGCCGGUGCUCGACUCUGGAGCCUCAANNN